This 801-nucleotide ribosomal RNA is filed under the name uncultured Pelagibacteraceae bacterium. RNAcentral's name for it is "bacterial SSU rRNA". It matches the Rfam family "Bacterial small subunit ribosomal RNA", at positions 40 to 889 of the family's 1533-position model. The record is from RNAcentral. Lineage: Bacteria; Pseudomonadati; Pseudomonadota; Alphaproteobacteria; Candidatus Pelagibacterales; Candidatus Pelagibacteraceae.
CGGCACGCCUUAUACAUGCAAGUCGAACGAAGUAGCAAUACUUAGUGGCAGACGGGUGAGUAACAUGUAGGUAUCUUCCCUUUGGUGAGGAAUAACACGAGGAAACUUGUGCUAAUACCUCAUAAGUCUUUACGGAGAAAGCUUUAUGCGCCAAAGGAUGAGCCUGCACUUGAUUAGUUUGUUGGUGGGGUAAUGGCCUACCAAGACUUUGAUCUAUAGCUGAUCUGAGAGGAUGAUCAGCCACAUUGGGACUGAGACACGGCCCAAACUCCUACGGGAGGCAGCAGUAGGGAAUAUUGCACAAUGGAGGAAACUCUGAUGCAGCGAUGCCGCGUGAGUGAAGAAGGCCUUUGGGUUGUAAAGCUCUUUCGUCGGGGAAGAAAAUGACUGUACCCGAAUAAGAAGGUCCGGCUAACUUCGUGCCAGCAGCCGCGGUAAUACGAAGGGACCUAGCGUAGUUCGGAAUUACUGGGCUUAAAGAGUUCGUAGGUGGUUAAAAAAGUUGGUGGUGAAAUCCCAGAGCUUAACUCUGGAACUGCCAUCAAAACUUUUUAGCUAGAGUAUGAUAGAGGAAAGCAGAAUUUCUAGUGUAGAGGUGAAAUUCGUAGAUAUUAGAAAGAAUACCAAUUGCGAAGGCAGCUUUCUGGAUCAUUACUGACGCUGAGGAACGAAAGCAUGGGUAGCGAAGAGGAUUAGAUACCCUCGUAGUCCAUGCCGUAAACGAUGUGUGUUAGACGUUGGAAAUUUAUUUUCAGUGUCGCAGCGAAAGCAUUAAACACACCGCCUGGGGAGUACGACCGC